AGGGAUCAUUACUGAGUUUACGCUCUACAACCCUUUGUGAACAUACCUAUAACUGUUGCUUCGGCGGGUAGGGUCUCCGUGACCCUCCCGGCCUCCCGCCCCCGGGCGGGUCGGCGCCCGCCGGAGGAUAACCAAACUCUGAUUUAACGACGUUUCUUCUGAGUGGUACAAGCAAAUAAUCAAAACUUUUAACAACGGAUCUCUUGGUUCUGGCAUCGAUGAAGAACGCAGCGAAAUGCGAUAAGUAAUGUGAAUUGCAGAAUUCAGUGAAUCAUCGAAUCUUUGAACGCACAUUGCGCCCGCCAGCAUUCUGGCGGGCAUGCCUGUUCGAGCGUCAUUUCAACCCUCAAGCUCUGCUUGGUGUUGGGGCCCUACAGCUGAUGUAGGCCCUCAAAGGUAGUGGCGGACCCUCCCGGAGCCUCCUUUGCGUAGUAACUUUACGUCUCGCACUGGGAUCCGGAGGGACUCUUGCCGUAAAACCCCCCAAUUUUCCAAAGGUUGACCUCGGAUCAGGUAGGAAUACCCGCUGAA
Molecule: ribosomal RNA, 531 nt
Filed under: Colletotrichum sp.
Lineage: Eukaryota; Fungi; Ascomycota; Sordariomycetes; Glomerellales; Glomerellaceae
Description: eukaryotic LSU rRNA
Rfam family: 5.8S ribosomal RNA (bases 184-337)
Source: RNAcentral